This 225-nucleotide unclassified non-coding RNA is filed under the name Hevea brasiliensis (rubber tree). Lineage: Eukaryota; Viridiplantae; Streptophyta; Magnoliopsida; Malpighiales; Euphorbiaceae. The record is from RNAcentral.
GUGAACACCAAGGUUGUUCAGUCUGGAACUAAGCAGGAAGUUAUGGAAGAAAAGUUUACAUCUCAAAACAUUGUCAGGGAAUGGGCCACAAAUGCAAAGAAAAUAGGAGAUGCUUUGGCUGCUGUGCUAGAGGAUGUUGAAAUCCUGUCAAGUGUAGACCAGAGAGCCGCAACUGGAAGUUCCCAGAAGAAAGAGAGAAAUUCAAAUAAAAUCAUUACUCCUGAG